Molecule: ribosomal RNA, 255 nt
Filed under: uncultured bacterium
Lineage: Bacteria
Description: partial 16S ribosomal RNA
Rfam family: Bacterial small subunit ribosomal RNA
Source: RNAcentral
GACGAACCGUGCGAACGUUGUUCGGAUUCACUGGGCUUAAAGGGCGCGUAGGCGGACGGUCAAGUCGGGGGUGAAAUCUUUCAGCUUAACUGGAAAAGUGCCUCCGAUACUGAUCGUCUCGAGGGAGGUAGGGGCAUGUGGAACUUCCGGUGGAGCGGUGAAAUGCGUAGAUAUCGGAAGGAACGCCGGUGGCGAAAGCGGGUCUCUGGGCGAACAACUGACGCUGGAGGAGCGAAAGCGUGGGGAGCGAACAGG